Molecule: long non-coding RNA, 627 nt
Organism: Meriones unguiculatus (Mongolian gerbil)
Lineage: Eukaryota; Metazoa; Chordata; Mammalia; Rodentia; Muridae
Exons: 2
Source: RefSeq, a predicted model, not a curated record
CUGGGGCGAUAGUGAGCCACGGAGCGGAAACCACUUGACUUCUGGCGGAGGAAGUUUUUGCUGAGCGAGGACCCUCCCAGGCUCUGGUCACCAUCCUGGAUGGAUUCUUUAACACCGGAGGGUUCCCUGAGAAGCCCCUUAUCCAGCAACAUGAAAAUCCAAUUUUUCAACGAUAUGACUCCGUCUAAAGGAAUGCAGGGCUAACGCCAGUGAAGGAAUGGGCUUGCCAGUGAGACUGGGAGAGAGAGAGAACAGCAGCAGGCAAAGAGCCGGCUUCCUUCGUCCACGUCUUUUAUGUAGGCUGCCAGCAGAAGGUGUGGCCCAGAUUAAACGUGGCUGGCCCCACCUCGAAAAGAUGCAUCCCCAAAUAUCCGGAUUAAAAGUGGGUCUUCCCACUUCAAACGAUUUAAAUAAAGAAAAAGAAUCCCUCUCUGGUAUACCCAACUGCUUGGGUUUUAGUUAAUUCCAGAUGUAGCCAAGUUGACGACCAAGACCAGCCCAGCACAGACCCACUGCCUCUUUCUCCGUCAGGAGCCCCAUGCUCAAGUCCUGGUCCCUUCCUGUAAACAUACCAUUACACAGAAGUCUUGUGAAAAAAGAAGAGGCCAUUAAAUGUCAAGGCAAACA